This 497-nucleotide ribosomal RNA is filed under the name uncultured bacterium. RNAcentral's name for it is "partial 16S ribosomal RNA". It matches the Rfam family "Bacterial small subunit ribosomal RNA", at positions 28 to 507 of the family's 1533-position model. The record is from RNAcentral.
GACGAACGCUGGCGGCGUGCCUAAUACAUGCCAGUUGAGCGCUGAAGGUUGGUACUUGUACCAACUGGAUGAGCAGCGAACGGGUGAGUAACGCGUGGGGAAUCUGCCUUUGAGCGGGGGACAACAUUUGGAAACGAAUGCUAAUACCGCAUAAAAACUUUAAACACAAGUUUUAAGUUUGAAAGAUGCAAUUGCAUCACUCAAAGAUGAUCCCGCGUUGUAUUAGCUAGUCGGUGAGGUAAAGGCUCACCAAGGCGAUGAUACAUAGCCGACCUGAGAGGGUGAUCGGCCACAUUGGGACUGAGACACGGCCCAAACUCCUACGGGAGGCAGCAGUAGGGAAUCUUCGGCAAUGGACGAAAGUCUGACCGAGCAACGCCGCGUGAGUGAAGAAGGUUUUCGGAUCGUAAAACUCUGUUGGUAGAGAAGAACGUUGGUGAGAGUGGAAAGCUCAUCAAGUGACGGUAACUACCCAGAAAGGGACGGCUAACUACGUG